AUUGAACGCUGGCGGCAUGCCUUACACAUGCAAGUCGAACGGCAGCACGGGAGCAAUCCUGGUGGCGAGUGGCGAACGGGUGAGUAAUGUAUCGGAACGUACCUUUCAGUGGGGGAUAACGUAGCGAAAGUUACGCUAAUACCGCAUAUUCUGUGAGCAGGAAAGCAGGGGAUCGCAAGACCUUGCGCUGAUUGAGCGGCCGAUAUCAGAUUAGCUAGUUGGUGAGGUAAAGGCUCACCAAGGCGACGAUCUGUAGCGGGUCUGAGAGGAUGAUCCGCCACACUGGAACUGAGACACGGUCCAGACUCCUACGGGAGGCAGCAGUGGGGAAUUUUGGACAAUGGGCGCAAGCCUGAUCCAGCCAUGCCGCGUGAGUGAUGAAGGCCUUAGGGUUGUAAAGCUCUUUUACCAGGGAUGAUAAUGACAGUACCUGGAGAUAAGCUCCGGCUAACUACGUGCCAGCAGCCG
Molecule: ribosomal RNA, 468 nt
Filed under: uncultured bacterium
Lineage: Bacteria
Description: bacterial SSU rRNA
Rfam family: Bacterial small subunit ribosomal RNA
Source: RNAcentral